CGGAGCGGGCAGAGGAACGCGCCGGAGGGGGCCGGAGCGCGGCCGCCGUGGCCAGGAGAGGACGGGUCAUCUCACGCCGCGGCCGGAAACCCGAGUUCUGAAGAUCGGAAGUCUAACACGGAUCGCACAAGGCUAAAAGCACAGCAUUGACUUGGCUCUGGGUGGCAUCUGUUUCCUUGCUUUCCCCAGACUGUAGAGGCCACCCACAUUCCUUGUCCGAUGCCCCCCUUUCUCCAUCUAAAAAGCCAACAGUGUUGCAGCUCUUUGUGUCUUUUUUUCAGUCACAUCCUCCUCUGACUGACUCCACCUGCCUCCUUCCACUUUUAAGUUUCCUUCUGAUUACAUUGAGCCUACCUAAGUAAUUCAGGAUAUUCUCCCAAUUUUAAGGCCCGCUGAUCAACAAUCUUAAUUUUCCUUUGCCAUGUAACCUAACACGGUCAGAUUCUGGGGACUAGGAUGUGGAUGUCAUCGGUGGAGGGGACGACAUUAUUCUGCCUGCCAAACGUGAAUAUUGUGUUUCAAGAUGCUUUUCGGACUGAGAAGGACAGCCUUUUUCAAUACUAUACAUAAUAUACCAUCCCCGAGGAAGAGAAGUUUUCAGGCUGUCCAGUGUCAAUAUAUCUAGAUGAGAUCAGUCGAAACUGUUAUUCAUUUAUGGAAGCAAGACUAAGGUUUUGUAGUCUUCACAAAUUAUUCAGCGACUUUGCGAGUCUGUGUACUAAGAAUAGUUUCAGUUUUAAUGUCAAAAUGUCACUCAAUUUUUUUAACCUUUUUGAUUAUUUUUAUGUCUAUUUUAUCAAAUUUUAUAUCUACAUGGUAGCUAAUUCCAUUGUGUAGAGAAGCAGAUGAUGAAAAUAAGUACCCUCUACCUUUCCAGCCAUAGGCCCGCUCUCCAGAGCAAACCUGGUAUAGCUUUUUGGAUUUUAGUUCUUCCAAAAGACCUCUGUAACUUCUGGUGACUUCUGUAACUUUAAAUAAAACUAGUAUGUAGUUUUUGUGAAUUAAUAUUGCCUCAUAAGUUUUAAAGUACACAGUACAUGAGCUGGGUGGAGUUCUUUGGAUAAAUGUGUAUCAGUGAGAGUUUAGUUGCAGGAAACACAAACCAUUCUUGGCACAUUAAAAAGUAGGAUUGUUAAAAUGGAGAUGCUUGUAACAUUGUUGGAAAGGCUGGAGGGUCUCCAGAAUUGACUCCCAGACAAACACUGCAGGUCUGGCUUGCCAGGGGAGCUGCUACCCCCACAACAAUGAGAAAGGUGGAGAAUCAGGGCCUGCCAGCAUCACACAACCGCCUCUUAACAACUGCUAACGUUCUGCUGCACAGAAACUAAACGUCUCCUCAACUACACGUGCGAGCAGAAAACAAGCAAGAAGACGGCUCUCCAAUUUCACCUUCCAAAUCUCACACAAGGACAUCUAAUCAAUGGAACCCGGCUCAUAUUCAGAACUAGCUGCGAAAGGACUUUGGGAAAUGUGACUUCUCUGCUUUUCAGCCUCUGCUUUAUAGGAAGGCACACCAGGAGGAUGGGACGGAUGUUGGGUAUCGGAUGACUUUAUUUACUGCCAUCCAUUUCUUUGUCUAGUCAACACGCAUACAUAUUUUCUACCCGUUCAUAAACAUCUGUGUAACAAUGACAACUGUAACUUAUCAAUGUAAAAACUAUUAUUCCCCUUCUUUAUAAAAGGAGCUUUAAAGAUCUA
Long non-coding RNA from Vicugna pacos (alpaca), 1698 nucleotides. RefSeq lists it as uncharacterized. NCBI's taxonomy places the organism in Eukaryota, Metazoa, Chordata, Mammalia, Artiodactyla, Camelidae. The record is from RefSeq and is a predicted model, not a curated record.